GCUAUUGCCUGAUCAAAUGGUGGUACAGUUUUCUUCUUAGCUGCUACUUGGUGAAAAAUGUUGGAGAUCUACUGGUUUAAAGCCUGUUGUGUAAAGGUACAAGAGAGACCUUUGCACACUUGUUUUGAUAUGUCUGAAAACCUUAAAAUAAACCCCUCAGCUGUCAGAACACAGUAAACACAGUAAGUGUGUUUGUGCACACACUAAUCUGUGGUUUUACUCCAAUGAACUCCAUAUGAAAUGCAGAAACUAUUCAGCUCAGGCCGAUCUAAAGGGUUAAUGCUGACAUCUGAUCAACAGUAAAAAUUCUUUCCAACCAGCACCAAUAAGAACUGCAUGAUCAGAUGCUGAUAUUGCUUCAUUAUAUGAAGUCAUUGGGGUAAAAACAGCCACAAACAUAAGCCACAAACAUUAGCAAUACACAAAGAUUAAUACAGAUAUACAUGUUAAACUUAAUGUGUAGUUCAAUGAAGGGAAUUUUGUUUAUUUUUUUGUCUUUUGUCAUUUAUUUUUAUUAAUGUUUUGUUUUUUAUGGUUGAGCCAAUGAUUAGUUUGCCCUUAAUUAAACUACACAAACUCCUAUUUGUCUGAUAAACUCUUCUAAAGGAGACUGAAGUUUGUCCUGCAGUUUAUUCCUCUGGUGUGUUUGUUUGUUCAGUGUGAGAUCAGGAUCAUGUGUGUCCAGCUCUGUGUCUCUGAAGAGUGACUGGUCAAAAGGGAAUCCACCAGAGUUUAGUGGGGAAACACCAUCAUCUGCACAAAGUGUUGAAUAUGAGUCAGCAGAUUUAGGAGACGAGACUCACCGGGUACACAUGAGUUUCACAGACAAUCUCCAGUGGAUCUUCCAGAAUCUUGAGAGCAAAAUUAUCAGAUUUCU
This is a non-coding RNA of Danio rerio (zebrafish), 877 nucleotides long. The record is from RefSeq and is a predicted model, not a curated record. Lineage: Eukaryota; Metazoa; Chordata; Actinopteri; Cypriniformes; Danionidae.